This 70-nucleotide transfer RNA is filed under the name Trichonephila inaurata madagascariensis. Its description in RNAcentral is "tRNA-Arg". The stretch from base 4 to 63 matches the Rfam family "tRNA", at positions 7 to 64 of the family's 71-position model. From Rfam's summary of the family: Transfer RNA (tRNA) molecules are approximately 80 nucleotides in length. Their secondary structure includes four short double-helical elements and three loops (D, anti-codon, and T loops). Further hydrogen bonds mediate the characteristic L-shaped molecular structure. tRNAs have two regions of fundamental functional importance: the anti-codon, which is responsible for specific mRNA codon recognition, and the 3' end, to which the tRNAs corresponding amino acid is attached (by aminoacyl-tRNA synthetases). tRNAs cope with the degeneracy of the genetic code in two manners: having more than one tRNA (with a specific anti-codon) for a particular amino acid; and 'wobble' base-pairing, i.e. permitting non-standard base-pairing at the 3rd anti-codon position. Lineage: Eukaryota; Metazoa; Arthropoda; Arachnida; Araneae; Nephilidae. The record is from RNAcentral.
CUUGUAGCGCAAUGGAAAGCGCGUUGGACCUCUCAUCCAAUGGUCGUGGUUUCGAAUCCCACCUGCAGGC